Molecule: long non-coding RNA, 647 nt
Organism: Magnolia sinica
Lineage: Eukaryota; Viridiplantae; Streptophyta; Magnoliopsida; Magnoliales; Magnoliaceae
Exons: 3
Source: RefSeq, a predicted model, not a curated record
ACACAGACUCCGAAUUUCUCAAGUCGGAAAACAAUCAAUACAGAGAUGCUGGCUCAACGGCCUCCACUACUGUUCUUGAUAUGCAGAUUGCAACAAGGAAGAAAACAUUUUACCUUGGGAAAGAUUCUUAAAACCGCGGAUCCAUUUUGGUGUAUCCCUGGAGGAAAUGAUUGGUGGGGAGAGUUCCAGUCAUAUGGUCAAGGAUCUUCUAGAGUUAUAUGCAAAGGAGCAUCGUAUUCUUGUCAUGAAUAAACCCCAACAACUGAGAGAGUUGGAAAUCUUUGUUUCAUUCAAGUUACAGUCUGUGUUCUAAUUACAGGUUGGUAUUUGUUAUAAAAGAUUUCACAAAUCAGGCUGGCAAUCGAACUCAUGAGGUGGCUGGAUUAGUCAAUUGCCCUGAAAUGGCCUGAAGCAAAGGCCUGUUCACCAGGCAUUCCAGAAAAAUCACAAUUUGGUGAAUCUGUUGAAAUGGUGAAAAAUGUAAAGUAGUGCAGUAGGAAAUGCUGAAAAGUUGGAAAAAGGCGAUAUUUAAAAUGUAAACCAGUGCGGUGAGACUUGAUGGGAAGUGUGAAAUUUUUGAUAUUUUUUUAGUUUAUUAUUAGAAGCCAAAAUAUGUGAAUUGGUGGGUGAAGCCAACACCAAAUAUC